UAACUUACCUAUAAGACUGGGAUAACUUCGGGAAACCGGAGCUAAUACCGGAUAAUAUUUCGAACCGCAUGGUUCGAUAGUGAAAGAUGGCUUUGCUAUCACUUAUAGAUGGACCUGCGCCGUAUUAGCUAGUUGGUAAGGUAACGGCUUACCAAGGCAACGAUACGUAGCCGACCUGAGAGGGUGAUCGGCCACACUGGAACUGAGACACGGUCCAGACUCCUACGGGAGGCAGCAGUAGGGAAUCUUCCGCAAUGGGCGAAAGCCUGACGGAGCAACGCCGCGUGAGUGAUGAAGGUCUUCGGAUCGUAAAACUCUGUUAUUAGGGAAGAACAAACGUGUAAGUAACUGUGCACGUCUUGACGGUACCUAAUCAGAAAGCCACGGCUAACUACGUGCCAGCAGCCGCGGUAAUACGUAGGUGGCAAGCGUUAUCCGGAAUUAUUGGGCGUAAAGCGCGCGUAGGCGGUUUUUUAAGUCUGAUGUGAAAGCCCACGGCUCAACCGUGGAGGGUCAUUGGAAACUGGAAAACUUGAGUGCAAAAGAGGAAAGUGGAAUUCCAUGUGUAGCGGUUGAAAUGCGCAAGAUAUGGAAGAAACACCAGUGCGAAGGCGACUUUUCUGGUCUGUAACUGACGCUGAUGUGCGAAAGCGUGGGGAUCAAACAAGCAUCAGAUACCGCUGGUAGUCCACGCCGUAAACGAUGGAGUGGCUAAGUGUUAGGGGGUUU
RNAcentral lists this ribosomal RNA (729 nucleotides) under Staphylococcus hominis. RNAcentral's name for it is "bacterial SSU rRNA". It matches the Rfam family "Bacterial small subunit ribosomal RNA", at positions 122 to 833 of the family's 1533-position model. Lineage: Bacteria; Bacillati; Bacillota; Bacilli; Caryophanales; Staphylococcaceae. The record is from RNAcentral.